This 499-nucleotide ribosomal RNA is filed under the name uncultured bacterium. RNAcentral's name for it is "partial 16S ribosomal RNA". It matches the Rfam family "Bacterial small subunit ribosomal RNA", at positions 30 to 523 of the family's 1533-position model. The record is from RNAcentral.
AUUGAACGCUGGCGGCAUGCCUUACACAUGCAAGUCGAACGGCAGCACGGGAGCAAUCCUGGUGGCGAGUGGCGAACGGGUGAGUAAAGUAUCGGAACGUGCCCAGUCGUGGGGGAUAACGUAGCGAAAGUUACGCUAAUACCGCAUACGAUCUAUGGAUGAAAGCGGGGGAUCGCAAGACCUCGCGCGAUUGGAGCGGCCGAUAUCAGAUUAGGUAGUUGGUGGGGUAAAGGCUCACCAAGCCGACGAUCUGUAGCUGGUCUGAGAGGACGGCAGGCCAGACUGGGACUGAGACACAGCCCAGACUCCUACGGGAGGCAGCAGUGGGGAAUUUUGGACAAUGGGCGAAAGCCUGAGCCAGCCAUGCCGCGUGCAGGAUGAAGGCCUUCGGGUUGUAAACUGCUUUUGUACGGAACGAAAAGGUUUGGCCUAAUAGCUGAGCUCAUGACGGUACCGUAAGAAUAAGCACCGGCUAACUACGUGCCAGCCGCCGCGGUAA